Non-coding RNA from Canis lupus familiaris (dog), 104 nucleotides. NCBI's taxonomy places the organism in Eukaryota, Metazoa, Chordata, Mammalia, Carnivora, Canidae. The record is from Rfam.
GUGCUCACUUCGGUAGCACAUACAUUAAAAUUGGAAGGACACAGAGAUUAGCACAGCCUUUGUGCAAGGAUGACACACAAAUCUGUGAAGCAUGUUAUUUUAAA